RNAcentral lists this ribosomal RNA (497 nucleotides) under uncultured bacterium. RNAcentral describes it as "partial 16S ribosomal RNA". It matches the Rfam family "Bacterial small subunit ribosomal RNA", at positions 28 to 507 of the family's 1533-position model. The record is from RNAcentral.
GAUGAACGCUGGCGGCGUGCCUAAUACAUGCAAGUCGAGCGAACAGAUGAGGAGCUUGCUCCUCUGACGUUAGCGGCGGACGGGUGAGUAACACGUGGAUAACCUACCUAUAAGACUGGGAUAACUUCGGGAAACCGGAGCUAAUACCGGAUAAUAUAUUGAACCGCAUGGUGCAAUAGUGAAAGACGGUUUUGCUGUCACUGAUAGAUGGAUCCGCGCCGCAUUAGCUAGUUGGUAAGGUAACGGCUUACCAAGGCAACGAUGCGUAGCCGACCUGAGAGGGUGAUCGGCCACACUGGAACUGAGACACGGUCCAGACUCCUACGGGAGGCAGCAGUAGGGAAUCUUCCGCAAUGGGCGAAAGCCUGACGGAGCAACGCCGCGUGAGUGAUGAAGGUCUUCGGAUCGUAAAACUCUGUUAUUGGGGAAGAACACAUGUGUAAGUAACUAUGCACGUCUUGACGGUACCUAAUCAGAAAGCCCCGGCUAACUACGUG